Long non-coding RNA from Physeter macrocephalus (sperm whale), 199 nucleotides. RefSeq lists it as uncharacterized. The record is from RefSeq and is a predicted model, not a curated record. Lineage: Eukaryota; Metazoa; Chordata; Mammalia; Artiodactyla; Physeteridae. The transcript is spliced from 3 exons.
GCCAACCCUCUUUUUAAAUCUCUUUGGAGAGAACAGUAUUUUUUGGAGCAGUAUCUUCCUUGAAAACAAAAUAUGAUUGAUUUUCCCUGCCAAAGUGUGCCUCAGAGCAUGCUGGAAGAGAAUCAGACCUGGACUUAAAGGAACAGAUAUAUAUAUGAAAAUUGCAACUGCCUAUGAAUAGUCAAUGCUAUAAGCAAUC